Molecule: transfer RNA, 60 nt
Filed under: Wellcomia compar
Lineage: Eukaryota; Metazoa; Nematoda; Chromadorea; Rhabditida; Oxyuridae
Description: tRNA-Met
Source: RNAcentral
AUAAAAUAGGAUAAAUAUAAUCUUUAAGGUUCAUACCCUUAAGAUACUGAUUGUUUUUAU